Molecule: unclassified non-coding RNA, 144 nt
Filed under: uncultured Coniochaeta
Lineage: Eukaryota; Fungi; Ascomycota; Sordariomycetes; Coniochaetales
Description: sequence contains ITS2
Source: RNAcentral
CAACCCUCAAGCACUGCUUGGUGUUGGGCGGUACCGCGCGCGGUACGCCUCAAACUCAGUGGCGGCGCCACCCGGCUUCAAGCGUAGUAACACUUCUCGCUUCGGACGCCGGGUGCGCUCCCGCCAGCAAGCCUCACUUCUCAA